UACAGAGGGUGCGAGCGUUAAUCGGAAUUACUGGGCGUAAAGCGUGCGUAGACGGCUAUCUAAGUCGGGUGUGAAGGCCCCGGGCUCAACCUGGGAAUUGCAUUCGAGACUGAAUAGCUAGGGUACGGUAGAGGGAAGUGGAAAUUUCCGGUGUAGCUGGGUGAAAUGCGUAGAUAUCGGAAGGAACAUCAGUGGCGAAAGCGACUUCCUGGACCAGUACCGACGUUCAGGCACGAAAGCGUGGGGAGCAAAUAAGGAUUAGAAACCCCGAGUAA
RNAcentral lists this ribosomal RNA (275 nucleotides) under uncultured bacterium. RNAcentral's name for it is "partial 16S ribosomal RNA". It matches the Rfam family "Bacterial small subunit ribosomal RNA", at positions 524 to 793 of the family's 1533-position model. The record is from RNAcentral.